AAUAUUGGACAAUGGGGGCAACCCUGAUCCAGCCAUGCCGCGCGUGUGAAGAAGGUCUUCGGAUUGUUAAGCACUUUAUGUUGGGAGGAAGGGCGUGAGGUUAAUACCCUGAAGUUUGGACGUUACUAACAGAAUAAGCACCGGCUAACUCUGUGCCAGCAGCCGCGGUAAUACAGAGGGUGCAAGCGUUAAUCGGAAUUACUGGGAGUAAAGCGCGCGUAGGUGGUUCAGUAAGAUGGGUGUGAAAUCCCCGGGCUUAACCUGGGAACUGCUUUCAUAACUGCUGAGCUAGAGUACGGUAGAGGGUGGUGGAAUUUCCUGUGUAGCGGUGAAAUGCGUAGAUAUAGGAAGGAACUCCAGUGGCGAAGGCGACUACCUGGACUGAUACUGACACUGAGGUGCGAAAGCGUGGGGAGCAAAC
RNAcentral lists this ribosomal RNA (421 nucleotides) under uncultured bacterium. RNAcentral's name for it is "partial 16S ribosomal RNA". It matches the Rfam family "Bacterial small subunit ribosomal RNA", at positions 360 to 773 of the family's 1533-position model. The record is from RNAcentral.